ACCAGCACCUCGAGUGGUCAGGAGGUUUAUUGGGCCUAAAGCAUCCGUAGCCGGCUUUGCAAGUCCCCGGUUAAAUCCAGCUGCCUAACAGAUGGGCUGCCGGGGAUACUACAGAGCUAGGAGGCAGGAGAGGCAAGCGGUACUCAGUGGGUAGGGGUAAAAUCCGUUGAUCCAUUGAAGAUCACCAGUGGCGAAGGCGGCUUGCCAGAAUGCGCUCGACGGUGAGGGAUGAAAGCUGGGGGAGCAAACCGGA
RNAcentral lists this ribosomal RNA (253 nucleotides) under uncultured prokaryote. RNAcentral describes it as "partial 16S ribosomal RNA". It matches the Rfam family "Archaeal small subunit ribosomal RNA", at positions 475 to 728 of the family's 1478-position model. The record is from RNAcentral.